Molecule: long non-coding RNA, 388 nt
Filed under: Mytilus galloprovincialis (Mediterranean mussel)
Lineage: Eukaryota; Metazoa; Mollusca; Bivalvia; Mytilida; Mytilidae
Source: RNAcentral
UUCUUGGUAACAAAUCUAAAUAUGAAUGUACAUUUAUUCAGCAUGAAAAUGAGCCUUUUAUAAAAGUGGAUUUGUGCAACAAUUCUACCUACAACAAUAAGAAAAGCUUAUAAAACAAAUAUGGAUAUUAAGACACGAGUUUCAGACAGCAAACCAAUAAUAUAAAAAUAAGAACAUGAUGUAUGAUUAACCAAUGAGACACCGAAUGACAUAGAUGUAACAUAACCAUGUAGGGACCCCAUGAAUGACGUAGAUGUAACAUAACCAUGUAGGGACGCCAUGAAUGACAUAGAUGUAACAUAACCAUGUAGGGACGCCAUGAAUGACAUAGAUGUAACAUAACCAUGUAGGGACGCCAUGAAUGACAUAGAUGUAACAUAACCAUGUA